This 376-nucleotide ribosomal RNA is filed under the name uncultured organism. RNAcentral describes it as "partial 16S ribosomal RNA". It matches the Rfam family "Bacterial small subunit ribosomal RNA", at positions 527 to 896 of the family's 1533-position model. The record is from RNAcentral.
GUAGGGUGCGAGCGUUAUCCGGAAUUAUUGGGCGUAAAGAGCUCGUAGGCGGUUGUCGCGUCUGUCGUGAAAGUCCGGGGGCGUUAAACCCCCGGGAUCUGCGGUGGGUACGGGCAGACUAGAGUGCAGUAGGGGAGACUGGAAUUCCUGGUGUAGCGGUGGAAUGCGCAGAUAUCAGGAGGAACACCGAUGGCGAAGGCAGGUCUCUGGGCUGUAACUGACGCUGAGGAGCGAAAGCAUGGGGAGCGAACAGGAUUAGAUACCCUGGUAGUCCAUGCCGUAAACGUUGGGCACUAGGUGUGGGGACCAUUCCACGGUUUCCGCGCCGCAGCUAACGCAUUAAGUGCCCCGCCUGGGGAGUACGGCCGCAAGGCUA